UUUCCGUAGGUGAACCUGCGGAAGGAUCAUUAUUGUAUAACCGAGGUGCGAGGGCUGUCGCUGACCCGAAAGGUCGUGCACGCCUGAGUGCCCUCACACACAUCCAUCUCACCCCUAUGUGCACCACCGCGUGGGUCCCCCUUUGGCUUGUUCGGAGGGGGGCUUACGUUUUCACACAAGCUUUGCAUGCAGUGUAGAAUGUAUUUUUUGUUUUUGCGAUCACGCAAUCAAUACAACUUUCAACAACGGAUCUCUUGGCUCUC
RNAcentral lists this unclassified non-coding RNA (263 nucleotides) under plant metagenome. RNAcentral describes it as "partial contains small subunit ribosomal RNA, internal transcribed spacer 1, and 5.8S ribosomal RNA". The record is from RNAcentral.